GAUGAACGCUGGCGGCGUGCCUAAUACAUGCAAGUCGAGCGAACAGACGAGGAGCUUGCUCCUUUGACGUUAGCGGCGGACGGGUGAGUAACACGUGGGUAACCUACCUAUAAGACUGGGAUAACUUCGGAAAACCGGAGCUAAUACCGGAUAAUAUUUCGAACCGCAUGGUUCGAUAGUGAAAGAUGGCUUUGCUAUCACUUAUAGAUGGACCUGCGCCGUAUUAGCUAGUUGGUAAGGUAACGGCUUACCAAGGCAACGAUACGUAGCCGACCUGAGAGGGUGAUCGGCCACACUGGAACUGAGACACGGUCCAGACUCCUACGGGAGGCAGCAGUAGGGAAUCUUCCGCAAUGGGCGAAAGCCUGACGGAGCAACGCCGCGUGAGUGAUGAAGGUCUUCGGAUCGUAAAACUCUGUUAUUAGGGAAGAACAAACGUGUAAGUAACUGUGCACGUCUUGACGGUACCUAAUCAGAAAGCCACGGCUAACUACGUG
RNAcentral lists this ribosomal RNA (497 nucleotides) under uncultured bacterium. RNAcentral describes it as "partial 16S ribosomal RNA". It matches the Rfam family "Bacterial small subunit ribosomal RNA", at positions 28 to 507 of the family's 1533-position model. The record is from RNAcentral.